RNAcentral lists this ribosomal RNA (270 nucleotides) under uncultured bacterium. RNAcentral's name for it is "partial 16S ribosomal RNA". It matches the Rfam family "Bacterial small subunit ribosomal RNA", at positions 793 to 1055 of the family's 1533-position model. The record is from RNAcentral.
GUCCACGCCGUAAACGAUGGGUGCUAGGUGUCGCGGGCUUUGACCCCUGCGGUGCCGUAGCUAACGCAUUAAGCACCCCGCCCUGGGGAGGUACGGCCGCAAGGCUAAAACUACAAAGGAAUUGACGGGGGCCCGGCACAAGCGGUGGAGCAUGUGGUUCAAUUCGACGCAACGCGCAGAACCUUACCUGGGCUAGAAAAUGCAAGAACCUGGUUGAAAGAUCGGGGUGCUCUUCGGAGAGCUUGUAGUUAGGUGCUGCAUGGCUGUCGU